UCUUAUACCACAUUUUAUUCUGAGGAGUCCCACAGUUUGAUAAGCUGUAGUUUGGAAGAAACACUUCAGUGCACCUGAAAGCUGAAGCACACGAUUUUUCUUUGGAAGAGCAAACAAAGCAGAAUGAGAAGGGAAGAAGCAGGGCAACAGCCUGCUUGUCCCCAGUCGACAGAUGAGUGACCACGUUAACAGGACACAGUUUGUCGGGCUCCACUUGAAAGGCCACCAGUGCCAUUUGCUAACAUGGGGACCGGCCAUUCCUCUAGGAAAGACGGCCAGCUGGCAGAGCAUGGCGUCAAAGCAAGGAGCUGACCCAAUCUGAAACAGCUGAGAAUUCACCCUAUAUUUUCUGUAAAUGAUAGAAGAACUUUUUCAGUUCCUCACAGUGGCUUAAUACCAGAUCCAGCUCUUUUUUCUUUUCUUUUCUUUUCUUUUUUUUUUUUUUUUCCUAAAUCUCCUAGAAUAUUUCCUUACGUAUUUUCUGCAUCAGUUUUUGGUAGAGUCCUGGUAGUCAUUGCAGGUUAUUUUGUCCUUGGCUCCGUCUUUUGAAAUGCUCAGCUGUGCCGUGAGGGAGUAGGCAGACUACUCUGGGAUUUCGAUGAGCAGUCAAAUGGUAACAACAAUGAACAUUAAAAGCAAAUUGCUGAGAGGCCGUGGGGCACAAGCCGGAGGUCCUCUCCAUAAACAAGUUAGGAAAUGUUUUCAAAACAGUAAUGCAUUUGGUUAAGUGAGUCUCGGUUGAUGGCUGUCUGUAAAUGAUUCUCAGAGAAAAGAAGCUGCAUCCAUCGACUUGCUUUCACUGGAUGAUUUGGAUUUGGAAGCAGAGCCGGCUUUGCCUUGCUGUGUGAAGCAGAGAACCCCACGUCGCUGCAAUGGCGCCCGGCACGCUGCUCGCUCACCUCCGCGCUGACUGCAGCACCUCUGCUCCUUCACAGCACCCUUUGCUUCUGAGUGGCCUUGUCCCAUUCCCAGAUCCUAUUUCCCUUACCAUGGAAAGCGAAUUAAAAAGGCUGGUGGGGAAGAUAAAGGAUCCUGCUGUUCAGUGGGUGUAUGCGAUGGAAAGUUGCUACCUCCCCUCCCUGUGCCUGCUGCUUUUCCCAUCCG
This 1104-nucleotide long non-coding RNA is filed under the name Anser brachyrhynchus (Pink-footed goose). Its description in RNAcentral is "lncRNA (ENSABRG00000005165.1)". Lineage: Eukaryota; Metazoa; Chordata; Aves; Anseriformes; Anatidae. The record is from RNAcentral.